This is a long non-coding RNA of Mauremys mutica (yellowpond turtle), 343 nucleotides long. RefSeq lists it as uncharacterized. Lineage: Eukaryota; Metazoa; Chordata; Testudines; Geoemydidae. The transcript is spliced from 3 exons. The record is from RefSeq and is a predicted model, not a curated record.
GAAAAACAUGCAUUCCUAUCUCACCAAGUUGGCUUUCUUGGAAGACAUCAGGACCCUACUCAAGGAGGAUGGAAAGACCUGCUAGAAACAAACAAGUCUCCUCAGAGGAAGAAGAGAGAACAUAUACCGGAGGAAGUGAGGACCAUGACAAAAGAGAAAUAUUGUGACAUGUACACACUGGAUAACUUACUUUCCGUUUUUUGCCUUUUCAUCACUUCUUCUGCCUGUAUUCUGAGUCCAAGGAACCACGGUGAUGGUUUGCUCGUAUCUUCUGCUUAAGCCUAGAGUGAUGAAUCACACUGCUUCUCACUCCAAAACCUCCUUUGUGUGCUGUACAAGGGUA